AAAGCCGUAAGCCGCAAGGCAUCUGUGAAGGUGCUGCAUGGUUGUCGUCAGCUCGUGCCGUGAGGUGUCGGCUUAAGUGCCAUAACGAGCGCAACCCUUGUUGUCAGUUACUAACAGGUUCCGCUGAGGACUCUGACAAGACUGCCAUCGUAAGAUGUGAGGAAGGUGGGGAUGACGUCAAAUCAGCACGGCCCUUACGUCCGGGGCUACACACGUGUUACAAUGGGGGGUACAGAGGGCCGCUACCACGCGAGUGGAUGCCAAUCCCAAAAACCUCUCUCAGUUCGGACUGGAGUCUGCAACCCGACUCCACGAAGCUGGAUUCGCUAGUAAUCGCGCAUCAGCCACGGCGCGGUGAAUACGUUCCCGGGCCUUGUACACACCGCCCGUCAAGCCAUGGGAGCCGGGGGUACCUGAAGUGCGUAACCGCGAGGAGCGCCCUAGGGUAAAACUGGUGACUGGGGCUAAGUCGUAACAAGGUAGCCGUACCGGAAGGUGCGGCUGGAUCACCUC
This 513-nucleotide ribosomal RNA is filed under the name uncultured bacterium. Its description in RNAcentral is "bacterial SSU rRNA". It matches the Rfam family "Bacterial small subunit ribosomal RNA", at positions 1004 to 1529 of the family's 1533-position model. The record is from RNAcentral.